AGCUGCACCCAGGAGAUCUUGGAGAUGUUCUGUGGCUUCCACUCUUCUAACUCCCUAGACAGUGAUUGGGUGCACCAGGUAAAGAAGGCGCAGUGCUGUUCUGAGUGGGAGGUUUAUGGAUGACUCCAUGGCAUACUGGUCUUCGUAACAGCUCUGAGUUGAGAGAAAUGCGGGUGUUGCUCAGCUACUGGAAUGUGUUGAAGUUGCCAAUGCUCUGCCCUGCGUCCCAACCAACCAAUGGAAUCAUCCCCCCUGACCCCGGGUGAGGCCUGGACCAUGCGGAUGCUCCAGGAAGGCAGAAUGGAUACUUUUGUACAGUCCCUGCUGCGAUCCUUCCAGGAGAGGAGCCUCUCAGAAAACGCAGUCGUUUUCCGUCUCUACCAGGUGUUCAGCACAGCCCCAAGGGGCCUGGGCCAGCAGCUCCACAGGGCUGUGGAAGAGGAUGAACCUCAUGGGGCUACCGUGGGCAAUCCUGGCAGGAAACAUGGCCUAGACUUCUCUGCUGCCUGGCUCUGUCGAAAGGGCUGCUGGGCAUCUUCCUGUGGAGCAGCUGUCUCUUUCCCUGUCAGCGUGGACGCGGCCCCACAGCCUCCCCGAGCCUCCCCGCGGGUCCUGAGGAGGCCGGGCCCUGUCAGCGUGGACGCGGCUCACGUCCUCCGGAAGCCUCCCCGCGGGUCCUGAGGAGCCGGGCCCUGUCAGCGUGGACGCCACCCCACGGCCUCCCCGAGCCUCCCCGCGGGUCCUGAGGAGGCCGGGCCCUGUCAGCGUGGACGCGGCUCACGUCCUCCGGAAGCCUCCCCGCGGGUCCUGAGGAGCCGGGCCCUGUCAGCGUGGACACCACUCCACGGCCUCCCCAGCCUCCCCAGCGCACCCAGGCUCCCGUCUGCAAGCGGAGAGGCUACUGCGCACGCGCCCCCGGGCGGUGCCUGGGCUCGGUCGCCCCCUGCGGGACGCGCAGGCGCUGCAGGCCGUGCGGGAGGCGGCGUCCCCCAGCCCAGGGCCGCCCCCGCCUCCUUCCAGGCUCCGGCCUGUGAGCCUGUGAGCCUGUGAGCCUGUGAGCCUGUGAGCCUGUGAGCCUGUGAGCCUGUGAGCCUGUGAGCCUGUGAGCGGCGGAAACGUCUCCCAGACACGGAGCCCAACCCCGGCUUCCCCAGGAUACUGAUGGACGGUGACCUGGAGCCCACGGGACGCGACGUGACAUGUGGACCAAACUCUCACCACUUCCAGCAAAACUCACUCAACGUUGUACGUAAAUUUAAAACACACAGCUAUCAAAAUAUCAAAAAGAGAACAUAAAAGAAAAUCUACAUGACCUUGAGUUUGGUGGUGCGUUUUAACACACAACACGAAACACUGACCCAAAAAUAUAUAUAUAUACAUAAUGUGAACUUUGAUCCAAAAUGUGAACCUAAUGUGAACACUGAUCCAAAAUGUGAACAUAAUGUGAACACUGAUCCAAAUAUAUAUAUAUAUACAUAAUGUGAACUUUACAUAUAACUUUAUAUAUAUACAUAAUGUGAGUUUGGUGGUGCGUUUUAACACACAACACGAAACACUGACCCAAAAAUAUAUAUAUAUACAUAAUGUGAACUUUAUAAAGGUAAAACUUCUACUCUGUGAAAGACUUUGCCCAGAAAACUAAAAGACAACUCACAAACUGGGAAAAUAUUUGCAAAACACACAUCUGAUAUUCAAACUACUUGAUUUUUAUCCAAUCUCUACAAAAAACUCUCAGAAGUCCACAAUAAGAACAUAGCUGUAUAACAACGGGUGAAUAUCUGUGCAGACACCUAGACAAAGCGAUGUAGCAAUAAAAAACAAGCCUGCAAAAAUAUGGUCUACA
This 1843-nucleotide long non-coding RNA is filed under the name Vulpes vulpes (red fox). Its description in RNAcentral is "lncRNA (ENSVVUG00000020899.1)". Lineage: Eukaryota; Metazoa; Chordata; Mammalia; Carnivora; Canidae. The record is from RNAcentral.